This 252-nucleotide ribosomal RNA is filed under the name uncultured bacterium. RNAcentral describes it as "partial 16S ribosomal RNA". It matches the Rfam family "Bacterial small subunit ribosomal RNA", at positions 524 to 776 of the family's 1533-position model. The record is from RNAcentral.
UACGUAGGGGGCAAGCGUUGUCCGGAUUUAUUGGGCGUAAAGAGCGUGUAGGCGGUUUGGUAGGUCCGUUGUGAAAACUCGAGGCUCAACCUCGAGACGCCGAUGGAAACCAUCAGACUAGAGUCCGGAAGAGGAGAGUGGAAUUCCUGGUGUAGCGGUGGAAUGCGCAGAAUAUCAGGAGGAACACCAAUAGCGAAGGCAGCUCGCUGGGACGGUACUGACGCUGAGACGCGAAAGCGUGGGAGCAACAGG